GACGAACGCUGGCGGCGUGCCUAAUACAUGCAAGUCGAGCGAAGCGGCGGAUGGGUGGGUAACGCGUGGGGAACCUGCCCUUAAGUCUGGGAUACCAUUUGGAAACGGAUGCUAAUACCGGAUACUAAAGGAUGGGCCUGCGUUGCAUUAGCUAGUGGGUAAGGUAACGGCUUACCUAGGCGAUGAUCCAUAGCCGAGUUGAGAGGAUGAUCGGCCACAUUGGGACUGAGACACGGCCCAGACUCCUACGGGAGGCAGCAGUAGGGAAUCUUCCACAAUGGACGAAAGCCUGAUGCAGCAACGCCGCGUGAGUGAAGAAGGCUUUCGGAUCGUAAAGCUCUUUUGUUGGUGAAGCGUUAAUCACCCAGAAAGUCACGGCUAACUACGUGCCAGCAGCCGCGGUAAUAC
Molecule: ribosomal RNA, 408 nt
Filed under: uncultured bacterium
Lineage: Bacteria
Description: partial 16S ribosomal RNA
Rfam family: Bacterial small subunit ribosomal RNA
Source: RNAcentral